CAGCAGCCGCGGUAAUACGGAGGAUCCAAGCGUUAUCCGGAAUCAUUGGGUUUAAAGGGUCCGUAGGCGGUCUUGUAAGUCAGUGGUGAAAGCCCAUCGCUCAACGGUGGAACGGCCAUUGAUACUGCAGGACUUGAAUUAUUGGGAAGUAACUAGAAUAUGUAGUGUAGCGGUGAAAUGCUUAGAGAUUACAUGGAAUACCAAUUGCGAAGGCAGGUUACUACCAAUUGAUUGACGCUGAUGGACGAAAGCGUGGGUAGCGAACAGGAUUAGAGACCCGCGUAGUCCCUGUCUCUUAUAC
This 301-nucleotide ribosomal RNA is filed under the name uncultured bacterium. RNAcentral describes it as "partial 16S ribosomal RNA". It matches the Rfam family "Bacterial small subunit ribosomal RNA", at positions 509 to 807 of the family's 1533-position model. The record is from RNAcentral.